This 465-nucleotide ribosomal RNA is filed under the name Vreelandella stevensii. Its description in RNAcentral is "partial 16S ribosomal RNA". It matches the Rfam family "Bacterial small subunit ribosomal RNA", at positions 338 to 795 of the family's 1533-position model. Lineage: Bacteria; Pseudomonadati; Pseudomonadota; Gammaproteobacteria; Oceanospirillales; Halomonadaceae. The record is from RNAcentral.
CCUACGGGCUGCAGCAGUGGGGAAUAUUGGACAAUGGGCGAAAGCCUGAUCCAGCCAUGCCGCGUGUGUGAAGAAGGCCUUCGGGUUGUAAAGCACUUUCAGUGGGGAAGAAAGCCUUGGGGCUAAUACCCUCGAGGAAGGACAUCACCCACAGAAGAAGCACCGGCUAACUCCGUGCCAGCAGCCGCGGUAAUACGGAGGGUGCGAGCGUUAAUCGGAAUUACUGGGCGUAAAGCGCGCGUAGGCGGUCUGAUAAGCCGGUUGUGAAAGCCCCGGGCUCAACCUGGGAACGGCAUCCGGAACUGUCAGGCUAGAGUGCAGGAGAGGAAGGUAGAAUUCCCGGUGUAGCGGUGAAAUGCGUAGAGAUCGGGAGGAAUACCAGUGGCGAAGGCGGCCUUCUGGACUGACACUGACGCUGAGGUGCGAAAGCGUGGGUAGCAAACAGGAUUAGAUACCCGGGUAGUC